Molecule: ribosomal RNA, 253 nt
Filed under: uncultured bacterium
Lineage: Bacteria
Description: partial 16S ribosomal RNA
Rfam family: Bacterial small subunit ribosomal RNA
Source: RNAcentral
UACGAAGGGAGCUAGCGUUGUUCGGAAUCACUGGGCGUAAAGCGCACGUAGGCGGAUGUGUCAGUCAGGGGUGAAAUCCCGGAGCUCAACUUCGGAACUGCCCUUGAUACAGCACGUCUUGAGUCCGGAAGAGGUGGGUGGAAUUCCUAGUGUAGAGGUGAAAUUCGUAGAUAUUGGGAAGAACACCGAUGGCGAAGGCAGCCAUCUGGACCGACACUGACGCUGAGGCGCGAAAGCGUGGGGAGCAAACAGG